UAGAUUGAAGCCAGAAUUAGGGUAUCUAGCUGUUAACUAGAAAUUUAUAGGUUUGAGUCCUAUCGAUCUAG
Molecule: transfer RNA, 71 nt
Filed under: Sigmodon hispidus (hispid cotton rat)
Lineage: Eukaryota; Metazoa; Chordata; Mammalia; Rodentia; Cricetidae
Description: tRNA-Asn
Rfam family: tRNA
About the family: Transfer RNA (tRNA) molecules are approximately 80 nucleotides in length. Their secondary structure includes four short double-helical elements and three loops (D, anti-codon, and T loops). Further hydrogen bonds mediate the characteristic L-shaped molecular structure. tRNAs have two regions of fundamental functional importance: the anti-codon, which is responsible for specific mRNA codon recognition, and the 3' end, to which the tRNAs corresponding amino acid is attached (by aminoacyl-tRNA synthetases). tRNAs cope with the degeneracy of the genetic code in two manners: having more than one tRNA (with a specific anti-codon) for a particular amino acid; and 'wobble' base-pairing, i.e. permitting non-standard base-pairing at the 3rd anti-codon position.
Source: RNAcentral